CAUCAAACGAAAUAUUUCGGCGCCGCUGGGUAAAAUUUCAAAAAAAUUCUCUCACUAAAAGCGCGCCAUCGUAAUCGUCUCUUUCAAGUUUCAUCUAUUCACCUCCCUGCUGCAACUCUUUUUCUGCCUACUAAACACACAGACGACAGAGUUUCAAAAAAAGAGUAAAAAAUGGCAGACAUAUCCCAUCUAGAAAAAAUGGGCAGAGAGCUCAAGUGCCCCAUUUGGUAAAUCUGUUUUAUUUCUAUAUUUCGUGUAGACUUACUUUAUUUUCCCGAAGUUUUAAUGGGUUUCACUGAUUUUGAACCGAAUUAGUGUCUAUCGAUAUUAAAUUGUUCUGUUGAGCAAUUUAUGGGCACUAAUAAUCUUGAACUAGUCGGAAGUUUCACUUCGUUUACUAUAUUUCUCCGUAAUUUAAAUGGGUUUCUUAGGAUUUUAAUAGAUUUAUUGUAAUUUCAUAAAAAAUUGUUGAAAAAUAAACUGGGUUCGAAGAAUUAUAAAUUAGUUGCCGACUGAGUUUUUUUAAUUGAUUUUCUACUUUUUAUUUUACCCUUUUGACAGCUUGAGUCUUCUAAAUUCCGCUGUUUCACUUACCUGCAAUCAUGUAUUUUGCAAGUAAGCUCUUUCCGUACACUUUUCUGUUCGAGCAUGUCAUUUAUACGUGCGAGGGACUCAAUUUAAUACAUCUGUUUAAUGAUUCAGUUCAUGUCUGGAGAAAUCUAUGCGAUCAACAUCCGAUUGUCCGGUGUGCAAAGUUCCAUAUCGACGNCACGAAAGACGAAGUA
Molecule: long non-coding RNA, 785 nt
Filed under: Olea europaea subsp. europaea
Lineage: Eukaryota; Viridiplantae; Streptophyta; Magnoliopsida; Lamiales; Oleaceae
Source: RNAcentral